This 1041-nucleotide ribosomal RNA is filed under the name uncultured Bacteroides sp. RNAcentral's name for it is "bacterial SSU rRNA". It matches the Rfam family "Bacterial small subunit ribosomal RNA", at positions 137 to 1178 of the family's 1533-position model. Lineage: Bacteria; Pseudomonadati; Bacteroidota; Bacteroidia; Bacteroidales; Bacteroidaceae. The record is from RNAcentral.
UCUUGGCCAGCCUUCUGAAAGGAAGAUUAAUCCAGGAUGGGAUCAUGAGUUCACAUGUCCGCAUGAUUAAAGGUAUUUUCCGGUAGACGAUGGGGAUGCGUUCCAUUAGAUAGUAGGCGGGGUAACGGCCCACCUAGUCAACGAUGGAUAGGGGUUCUGAGAGGAAGGUCCCCCACAUUGGAACUGAGACACGGUCCAAACUCCUACGGGAGGCAGCAGUGAGGAAUAUUGGUCAAUGGGCGAUGGCCUGAACCAGCCAAGUAGCGUGAAGGAUGACUGCCCUAUGGGUUGUAAACUUCUUUUAUAAAGGAAUAAAGUCGGGUGUGCAUACCCGUUUGCAUGUACUUUAUGAAUAAGGAUCGGCUAACUCCGUGCCAGCAGCCGCGGUAAUACGGAGGAUCCGAGCGUUAUCCGGAUUUAUUGGGUUUAAAGGGAGCGUAGAUGGAUGUUUAAGUCAGUUGUGAAAGUUUGCGGCUCAACCGUAAAAUUGCAGUUGAUACUGGAUGUCUUGAGUGCAGUUGAGGCAGGCGGAAUUCGUGGUGUAGCGGUGAAAUGCUUAGAUAUCACGAAGAACUCCGAUUGCGAAGGCAGCCUGCUAAGCUGCAACUGACAUUGAGGCUCGAAAGUGUGGGUAUCAAACAGGAUUAGAUACCCUGGUAGUCCACACGGUAAACGAUGAAUACUCGCUGUUUGCGAUAUACGGCAAGCGGCCAAGCGGAAGCGUUAAGUAUUCCACCUGGGGAGUACGCCGGCAACGGUGAAACUCAAAGGAAUUGACGGGGGCCCGCACAAGCGGAGGAACAUGUGGUUUAAUUCGAUGAUACGCGAGGAACCUUACCCGGGCUUAAAUUGCACUCGAAUGAUCCGGAAACGGUUCAGCUAGCAAUAGCGAGUGUGAAGGUGCUGCAUGGUUGUCGUCAGCUCGUGCCGUGAGGUGUCGGCUUAAGUGCCAUAACGAGCGCAACCCUUGUUGUCAGUUACUAACAGGUGAUGCUGAGGACUCUGACAAGACUGCCAUCGUAAGAUGUGAGGAAGGUGGGG